Molecule: long non-coding RNA, 2964 nt
Organism: Alligator mississippiensis (American alligator)
Lineage: Eukaryota; Metazoa; Chordata; Crocodylia; Alligatoridae
Exons: 5
Source: RefSeq, a predicted model, not a curated record
CCUGCCCCCGGUGCAGUCCCCCCAGCCUGUGGUCACCUGCCAACCUCCAAGUCCUCCAGGAAAAUAGCCACUAUGCAAAGAUUUGCAAGAUCUGGAUCAAAAUGGGAGACAGGCAGGACCACCUAAAAUGAGAUGUCUGGUUGCAGCCUUACAGCCCUGUUGACAUCAGAUACUUGGUCCUAUGCCAGUGUCCUGUGGAAGGACACUCAUACACGAGGGUCAGCAUACUACAAAGAGGUUUAUUUGGUUGAUCUGGAAGUGUGUGUGGGGAUCGGCAAGGAUGCAAGUUAUGAAAAAAUCGACAUCUCUGCAGCAUUCUGACAAAUGUUGUCCUAAAGAUUAAAGAAAGUGUUUUGAUCCAGCCAGGAUCCCCAGUGAUGAUCCCAGGCCACAAGUGAGUUGCACUUUUGCUGCAGAAGAUGAGACAGCCUCAGCUUCUGCCACAGAACAAGUUUGUCCUGUGAUGGAAGUGAGGGUGUCUUGCCAACAUCCUAUGUCCAUGAAUGCAGAGGAAGGAAGGAAAGCCACAGCCGUGAACAACAUCUCCAAGCCAGCUCUUCUGGAUACCAGAGCCUCUAGGAUCUUUAUGGACUUUGCAUUUGCCUCCCAGCACCAGAUUCCAACCAGGUCUACAUGCACCCCAGAUGUAGUGGAGUCAGUGGAUGGGUCUACCUUCCCCGCAGAACCCACCUGAGUAGCCCCAUUGGAAGUGUGGAUCAGAGGGCACAGGAAUUUCUCUGCUUCAACCUGAUCCAUUUUCCCUACUUUCCAAUUUUCUUGGGAACCCCAUGGCUUUCCCUCCACAACCCUGAUAUUCUGUGGGGGCAGAGGGAAUUCCAAUUUCUUUCUACUUUAGUGGAACUGGAUGUGUUUCCAUGGGAGACCCCAGAUCACAGCUCAGAUCAUGCAGGGAGCCAGAGCACCUGACACCAUCUGCAGGGGGAACAAGGCCCACACACCCAAAGAUUGCCAGUCUGCCAGCCAAUGGCUCAUCUAUCCCUGCAAAAUGCUGAGAUGUGGAUGAUGUAUUUGAUAAGAAGGGGUGAACCAGCUUCCUCCACAUCAUCCAUACGAUUGCCUCACUGAUAUCUUACCAGGGGUACAGAUUCUGUCUCUGAGCCUGAACUCAAGGCUCUAAAACAGUGGUCACCAACCAGUGGAUCUCGAUACACCAGUAGAUGUUGGAGCCUCUUGUGGUAGAUCUCGGAGCCUCUUGGAGUCGAUCCGAGGGUGGGGUAGGGGGGCUGAGUGCCUGCUUGCAUGCACAUGCACACCUCCCAGCCCAGCAGGUCAGUCCAUGGGGAAGGGAAGGGGCGGGGGCUAGAUCGAGGUCCCCGCAGUGAGGGACAGUGCUGCAGAGGCAGGAGCAGGGGUAAGAUAAGUGGGGCCCAGCCAGGUGGGACUUACCUGUUCAGGAGGUGUGCCCCCAAAUAAUUUUUUCUCGAUCUGCACCCCCCCCUUCCCUGGUCCUCCAUACUUUCAGGUGGCCCCAACAUCAGAGCAUUCAAAAAUACUUUGGCUCCUAUGAGGCUUGUGUUCACACCAAAACCCCAUGCACUAAGCCUCUAGGCCUCCUCCAACCACUACAGACGCCAAGCCAGCCCUGGAACAUGGUGUCUUGAUUCUAUUACCGAUCUGCCUCCCACCUUAGGGCAUUCAAGCAUCCUGCUGGCAGUGGACCUCCUCACCAGGAUAGCCCAUCCCCUGCCCUCAGACAGCCUGACUAUUCUUAGAAAAAAAUCUUUCAGUUUCAUGGUCUUCCCGGGGGCAUUGUCUCAGACUGCAGCCCACAAUUAGUUUCCCACUUCUGGAAAGAGCUCUCAAAACUUAAAAAUCAAACCUCUAGCCUCAUCUCCACAUCACCUGCAAACUGACAGGCAAACAGAAUGGAUCUGUCAGACACUCGAACAAUGUCUCCAACACUUUUUGAAUUAUCACCAGGACAAUUGGGUCUCCAUACUCCGCUUGAGGAAUUCACAUAUAAUAACUCUGAACAUGCCUCCACUGACCACUCUCCUUUUCUUUUGAAUUAUGGGGCACUUUUACAUGUGUUCCAGGAAUGUGGGAAGGGAGCUUUAAUUAGAGCAACUCCCAGAGUCACUCUAAUUAAAGCACCUCAGCAUCUUGUGUAUCAGUAUCCCUGUGCUUCAGAAUCAUGGUGGGAGCGCUUUAACUAAAGCUCGUCAAAUGGUCUUUAGUUAAAGCACCCCUGCUGCCAUUUUGAAGCACAGGGAUGGUGAUACACUACAUGCAGAGGCUGGCUGGAGUGCACAAAUUAGCAUGCUUCAGCAGACUUGAUUAAUUAAGUCUGCUCCGACAUGCUGGAAUUACAGUGUGUGGAAGCAGCCUCGUGGCACAUCUGCAGGCACCCAUGGUUUCCAUCCCCACAUUCAUCUCUUGUCCUUUCAGACCUUUUACACACCAGCUGCAGUCUGAAUGGUCAAUAAUUUUCACCAGGUCCAGCAAGAGCUAAAGAAACAUCUAGAACUUGCCAAGGAGACUUACAAGAGCUUCACAGAUAAGAAUCGUCAAGAAGCACUGGCCUUCUUAGUGGGGGAAAAGGUUUGGCAUCCACCUCUGCAUGUCCAUCUACCAAACUGAACUUCCAAUAUUUGGGCCCCUUCUCAAUCAUUGCAAAGAUUAAUUCAGUCACCUACAGAUUAAAGCUCUCCAGAACCAUGAAAAUGGUCUUUCAUGUCUCCCUGCUGAAGCCGCAUAAGGAGAACCCAUUUCCAAGCCGAGCACCAAGCCUUCACCAGCCAUGCAGAUCCAAGGUCAAGAUGAAUUUUUGUUCAACAGAUUCUAGACUCCAAGAUGAUUGGGGGAAAUUACACUGUCGAAUAGACCGUGAAGGGGACAGUCUGCAGGAACGUUCCUGGGAAUCAAUGAACAAUGUCCAUGUGCUGGACUUUGUAAAAGACUUCCAUCAGGCUCAUCCUAAUAAACUUGGAGAACAGGAUAGCA